RNAcentral lists this ribosomal RNA (253 nucleotides) under uncultured bacterium. RNAcentral describes it as "partial 16S ribosomal RNA". It matches the Rfam family "Bacterial small subunit ribosomal RNA", at positions 524 to 776 of the family's 1533-position model. The record is from RNAcentral.
UACGGGGGGGGUAAGCGUUGUUCGGAAUUACUGGGCGUAAAGGGCUCGUAGGCGGCCAACUAAGUCAGACGUGAAAUCCCUCAGCUUAACUGGGGAACUGCGUCUGAUACUGGAUGGCUUGGAUUUGGGAGAGGAAUGCGGAAUUCCAGGUGUAGCGGUGAAAUGCGUAGAUAUCUGGAGGAACACCGGUGGCGAAGGCGGCAUUCUGGACCAACAUUGACGCUGAACGGCGAAAGCUAGGGGAGCAAACGGG